RNAcentral lists this ribosomal RNA (2926 nucleotides) under Escherichia fergusonii. RNAcentral's name for it is "23S ribosomal RNA". It matches the Rfam family "Bacterial large subunit ribosomal RNA". Lineage: Bacteria; Pseudomonadati; Pseudomonadota; Gammaproteobacteria; Enterobacterales; Enterobacteriaceae. The record is from RNAcentral.
GGGUUGUGAGGUUAAGCGACUAAGCGUACACGGUGGAUGCCCUGGCAGUCAGAGGCGAUGAAGGACGUGCUAAUCUGCGAUAAGCGUCGGUAAGGUGAUAUGAACCGUUAUAACCGGCGAUUUCCGAAUGGGGAAACCCAGUGUGAUUCGUCACACUAUCAUUAACUGAAUCCAUAGGUUAAUGAGGCGAACCGGGGGAACUGAAACAUCUAAGUACCCCGAGGAAAAGAAAUCAACCGAGAUUCCCCCAGUAGCGGCGAGCGAACGGGGAGGAGCCCAGAGCCUGAAUCAGUGUGUGUGUUAGUGGAAGCGUCUGGAAAGGCGCGCGAUACAGGGUGACAGCCCCGUACACAAAAAUGCACAUACUGUGAGCUCGAUGAGUAGGGCGGGACACGUGGUAUCCUGUCUGAAUAUGGGGGGACCAUCCUCCAAGGCUAAAUACUCCUGACUGACCGAUAGUGAACCAGUACCGUGAGGGAAAGGCGAAAAGAACCCCGGCGAGGGGAGUGAAAAAGAACCUGAAACCGUGUACGUACAAGCAGUGGGAGCCUCUUUAUGGGGUGACUGCGUACCUUUUGUAUAAUGGGUCAGCGACUUAUAUUCUGUAGCAAGGUUAACCGAAUAGGGGAGCCGAAGGGAAACCGAGUCUUAACUGGGCGUUAAGUUGCAGGGUAUAGACCCGAAACCCGGUGAUCUAGCCAUGGGCAGGUUGAAGGUUGGGUAACACUAACUGGAGGACCGAACCGACUAAUGUUGAAAAAUUAGCGGAUGACUUGUGGCUGGGGGUGAAAGGCCAAUCAAACCGGGAGAUAGCUGGUUCUCCCCGAAAGCUAUUUAGGUAGCGCCUCGUGAAUUCAUCUCCGGGGGUAGAGCACUGUUUCGGCAAGGGGGUCAUCCCGACUUACCAACCCGAUGCAAACUGCGAAUACCGGAGAAUGUUAUCACGGGAGACACACGGCGGGUGCUAACGUCCGUCGUGAAGAGGGAAACAACCCAGACCGCCAGCUAAGGUCCCAAAGUCAUGGUUAAGUGGGAAACGAUGUGGGAAGGCCCAGACAGCCAGGAUGUUGGCUUAGAAGCAGCCAUCAUUUAAAGAAAGCGUAAUAGCUCACUGGUCGAGUCGGCCUGCGCGGAAGAUGUAACGGGGCUAAACCAUGCACCGAAGCUGCGGCAGCGACGCUUAUGCGUUGUUGGGUAGGGGAGCGUUCUGUAAGCCUGCGAAGGUGUGCUGUGAGGCAUGCUGGAGGUAUCAGAAGUGCGAAUGCUGACAUAAGUAACGAUAAAGCGGGUGAAAAGCCCGCUCGCCGGAAGACCAAGGGUUCCUGUCCAACGUUAAUCGGGGCAGGGUGAGUCGACCCCUAAGGCGAGGCCGAAAGGCGUAGUCGAUGGGAAACAGGUUAAUAUUCCUGUACUUGGUGUUACUGCGAAGGGGGGACGGAGAAGGCUAUGUUGGCCGGGCGACGGUUGUCCCGGUUUAAGCGUGUAGGCUGGUUUUCCAGGCAAAUCCGGAAAAUCAAGGCUGAGGCGUGAUGACGAGGCACUACGGUGCUGAAGCGACAAAUGCCCUGCUUCCAGGAAAAGCCUCUAAGCAUCAGGUAACAUCAAAUCGUACCCCAAACCGACACAGGUGGUCAGGUAGAGAAUACCAAGGCGCUUGAGAGAACUCGGGUGAAGGAACUAGGCAAAAUGGUGCCGUAACUUCGGGAGAAGGCACGCUGAUAUGUAGGUGAAGCGACUUGCUCGUGGAGCUGAAAUCAGUCGAAGAUACCAGCUGGCUGCAACUGUUUAUUAAAAACACAGCACUGUGCAAACACGAAAGUGGACGUAUACGGUGUGACGCCUGCCCGGUGCCGGAAGGUUAAUUGAUGGGGUUAGCGGUAACGCGAAGCUCUUGAUCGAAGCCCCGGUAAACGGCGGCCGUAACUAUAACGGUCCUAAGGUAGCGAAAUUCCUUGUCGGGUAAGUUCCGACCUGCACGAAUGGCGUAAUGAUGGCCAGGCUGUCUCCACCCGAGACUCAGUGAAAUUGAACUCGCUGUGAAGAUGCAGUGUACCCGCGGCAAGACGGAAAGACCCCGUGAACCUUUACUAUAGCUUGACACUGAACAUUGAGCCUUGAUGUGUAGGAUAGGUGGGAGGCUUUGAAGUGUGGACGCCAGUCUGCAUGGAGCCGACCUUGAAAUACCACCCUUUAAUGUUUGAUGUUCUAACGUUGGCCCCUUAUCGGGGUUGCGGACAGUGUCUGGUGGGUAGUUUGACUGGGGCGGUCUCCUCCUAAAGAGUAACGGAGGAGCACGAAGGUUGGCUAAUCCUGGUCGGACAUCAGGAGGUUAGUGCAAUGGCAUAAGCCAGCUUGACUGCGAGCGUGACGGCGCGAGCAGGUGCGAAAGCAGGUCAUAGUGAUCCGGUGGUUCUGAAUGGAAGGGCCAUCGCUCAACGGAUAAAAGGUACUCCGGGGAUAACAGGCUGAUACCGCCCAAGAGUUCAUAUCGACGGCGGUGUUUGGCACCUCGAUGUCGGCUCAUCACAUCCUGGGGCUGAAGUAGGUCCCAAGGGUAUGGCUGUUCGCCAUUUAAAGUGGUACGCGAGCUGGGUUUAGAACGUCGUGAGACAGUUCGGUCCCUAUCUGCCGUGGGCGCUGGAGAACUGAGGGGGGCUGCUCCUAGUACGAGAGGACCGGAGUGGACGCAUCACUGGUGUUCGGGUUGUCAUGCCAAUGGCACUGCCCGGUAGCUAAAUGCGGAAGAGAUAAGUGCUGAAAGCAUCUAAGCACGAAACUUGCCCCGAGAUGAGUUCUCCCUGACCCUUUAAGGGUCCUGAAGGAACGUUGAAGACGACGACGUUGAUAGGCCGGGUGUGUAAGCGCAGCGAUGCGUUGAGCUAACCGGUACUAAUGAACCGUGAGGCUUAACCUUACAACGCCGAAG